AAAGGGAGACCUAAUUCGGGUAUAAGACGAAAAAAUAGUAGUCGAAACCAAGAAUCAAUCCCAAAAGGUCGGAACGAGGUAUGUGGCUUUCAAACUAGGUUCUGGGUUCACAAAAGACCUGAAUCAGGAACAAGGGCUAUUAGCUCAGGUGGUUAGAGCGCACCCCUGAUAAGGGUGAGGUCCCUGGUUCGAGUCCAGGAUGGCCCACCUGCACAGGUGGCAAAAACAAGAGAAACGAGGAAUCAGCACCUUAUCUUACUCAUAUAGUAAGAGAGAAUGCUGGCUCUGAGUAAAGAGUCCAGAGGAACCUUGAAAACUGCAUAGAGCUAGGUGAAAAAGCCAAAAAAGAAGACCGCAAG
Molecule: transfer RNA, 359 nt
Filed under: uncultured Microcystis sp.
Lineage: Bacteria; Bacillati; Cyanobacteriota; Cyanophyceae; Chroococcales; Microcystaceae
Description: partial 16S-23S ribosomal RNA intergenic spacer
Rfam family: tRNA (bases 134-207)
Source: RNAcentral